GAACAAUUCUUGAACGCAAAUUAGCAUUUUCUUGGACACUUUGUACUAAGAGAAAUUCUGCAUUAGAAAUCUUCUCAUCCAUUUCUCCAGCUUUCUCUUUCAACUUCCGGAUGGAAGCACGUAAUGACAUCUGUUGAUUGUUAAGUCCCCCAAUAGUUUGAUGUAAUUCUUUCACUUUAGCAUCAAUCUCUUGAACAAAAGGUAUUUCCCUUUCUCUUGCUUCAUUGUACUCCACGAUCUCCGCAU
Molecule: unclassified non-coding RNA, 246 nt
Filed under: Hevea brasiliensis (rubber tree)
Lineage: Eukaryota; Viridiplantae; Streptophyta; Magnoliopsida; Malpighiales; Euphorbiaceae
Source: RNAcentral